CUGUUGGAAAAGGCCUUCAGACCCUUGGAGACGGUAGGGUCUAAUGGCUGCAUCUUGUGGCUGCAGUGGGGUGGCAGAGUGAUCCCUGGCCUCUUGCUGUAAGAACAGCCUCCAGGGUCUUAUGGGAGUGGUGCCCAUCAGGGACGCAACCAACACUGUGGGUGAAGUGGUGGAGCCAGUUGACAAAGAUGGUACUGUUGACCCAACCUGAGUCACUCACCCUUCCAACGGACCCAGGAGUUGCUCCAACCAGCAGCUGUUUGUUCAUCCUCUUCCGGGGGAAGAUGAAGAGGGGCAGUACAUACUGUCCCGCUGCACUGAUAUCACAAAUUACUGUGAAGCCCCUCUCUGCGCUGGUCAUCUGUGCAACCUGCUGUUCCAAAAGGAAUGUUAAUCAAAUAAAACAAUUGACAGAUCUUUUACCUAAUGGUGGUGCUUUAAACAUGCGCAAAUUCCUAUUGGAACACAGUCAUUGUAAUAGUGCAGGGCAUGUGCAACGUGCCCUACCUUCAUGUUUUGUCUUACAGGAAUUAUACACAUAUGAGGAGAAAGCUGAAGUCUCUACCUGUCCUCUGUCUGAUUCCCAGUUCGUCCACUAGAUGGAGGACCUGAGCCCUAGGACCAUGCCUCAGGACUACCUGGCCUGAUGACUCCUUGCUGUCCCCAGUCCACCUGGCCGUGCUGCUGCUCCAGUUUCCACUGUUCUGCCUGCGGCUAUGGAACCCUGACUUGUUCACCAAACGUGCUACCUGUCCCAGACCUGCUGUUUUCAACUCUCUAGAGACAGCAGGAGCGGUAGAGAUACUCUGAAUGAUCGGCUAUGAAAAUCCAACUGACAUUUACUCCUGAGGUGCUGACCUGUUGCACAUUAGACAACCACUGUGAUUAUUAUUAGUUGACCAUGCUGGUCAUCUAUGAAAAUUUGAACAUCUUGGCCAUGUUCUGUUAUAAUCUCCACCCGACACAGCCAGAAGAGGACUGGCCACCCCUCAUAGCCUGGUUCCUCUCUAGGUUUCUUCCUAGGUUCUGGCCUUUCUAGGGAGUUUUUCCUAGCCACCGUGCUUCUACACCUGCAUUGCUUGCUGUUUGGGGUUUUAGGCUGGGUUUCUGUACAGCACUUUGAGAUAUCAGCUGAUAUAAGAAGGGCUUUAUAAAUACAUUUGAUUUGAUUUAGAUGAUAACAACCAGAAAUCGGACAUUGUUUUUCCAUUGGAAUUUGGUUGUGCUUUAAUACUGACCAAAAAUAUACUGAGAAAAAAUAUAAACGCAACAUGCAGCAAUUUCAACGAUUUUACUGAGUUGUUAUUAUUGUCCCCAGCACAAGGUGCACCUGUGUAAUGAUCAUGCUGUUUAAUCAGCUUCUUGAUAUGCCACACCUGUCAGGUGGAUAGAUUAUCUUGGCAAAGGAGAAAUGUUCACUAACAGGGUUGUAAACAAAUUUGUGCACAACAUUUGUUAGAAAUAAGCUUUUUGUGCCUAUGGAACAUUUCCGGGAUAUUUUAUUUCAGCUCAUGAAACCUGGGACCAACACUUCACAUGUUGUUUAUAUUUUUGUUCAGUAUAGAUGGUUGAAAGAAUAGUGAUAACACAUUGGGAAUUCAACAAACUUCUGGCUGUCUUUUUUGAGCGGGUGAAUAAAGGUUGAAAUCUCAAUGUCUCAACCAACUAUUACCCAAAUUUCCACGUGGAAAUUACCUGGCGUGCCCAGUGGGUACAGUGUACUGUAUUCCAAGGUUGUACUGACUUGUGGGUCAGGAGUCAAUUUGAGAUUCAGCAAUAUUCACUAUAUCACCCAAUAUGAUCACACCCUGCUUCGUAGAAAGCACCUGUUUGGUCUUUCUGUUGGAAAGCUCCCCUUUGGCACCAAAUAAUUUUUACUGAAAAACCUGGUUAGUGCAAAUCAUCCAAUGGAACAAGUGAAUGCUGGCGGAACCCCGUUCCGCCAGCGGGACCCCUCGCCAACAGCCAAUGGAAUAGCAGGGCGCGAAAUACAAAACAACAAAAAUCUCAUAAUUCAAAUUUGUCAAACAAUCAACUAUUUUACACCAUUUUAAAGAUAAACUUCUCGUUAGUCCAACCACAUUGUCCGAUUUCAAAAAGGCUUUACGACGAAAGCGUAACAUUAGAUUAUGUUGGGACAUCACCUUGACAAGAAAAACCACACAGCCAUUUUCCAAGCAAGGAGAGGCAUCACAAAAACCAGAAAUACAGCUAAAAUGAAUCACUAACCUUUGACGAUCUUCAUCAGAUGACACUCCCAGGACUCAAUGUUACACAAUACAUGUAUGUUUUGUUCGAUAAAGUUCAUAUUUAUAUCCAAAACCCCCAUUUUACAUUGGCGCGUGAUGUUCAGAAAAUGUAUUGCCUCC
Molecule: long non-coding RNA, 2369 nt
Filed under: Salmo salar (Atlantic salmon)
Lineage: Eukaryota; Metazoa; Chordata; Actinopteri; Salmoniformes; Salmonidae
Description: lncRNA (ENSSSAG00000109205.1)
Source: RNAcentral